Molecule: ribosomal RNA, 253 nt
Filed under: uncultured bacterium
Lineage: Bacteria
Description: partial 16S ribosomal RNA
Rfam family: Bacterial small subunit ribosomal RNA
Source: RNAcentral
UACGAAGGGGGCAGGCGUUGUUCGGAAUUACUGGGCGUAAAGGGCGCGUAGGCGGCUUAUCAAGUCAGGCGUGAAAUUCCCGGGCUCAACCUGGGGGCUGCGCUUGAUACCGAUGAGCUUGAAUGCGGGAGAGGAUAGUGGAAUUCCCAGUGUAGAGGUGAAAUUCGUAGAUAUUGGGAAGAACACCGGUGGCGAAGGCGGCUAUCUGGCCCGUAAUUGACGCUGAGGCGCGAAAGCGUGGGGAGCAAACAGG